Molecule: ribosomal RNA, 460 nt
Filed under: uncultured bacterium
Lineage: Bacteria
Description: partial 16S ribosomal RNA
Rfam family: Bacterial small subunit ribosomal RNA
Source: RNAcentral
CCUACGGGAGGCAGCAGUGAGGAAUAUUGGUCAAUGGCCGGAAGUCUGAACCAGCCAUGCCGCGUGCGGGAAGACGGCCCUAUGAGUUGUAAACUGCUUUUGUCCGAGGGUAAACCUGAAUACGUGUAUUCAGAUGAAAGUACUCUACGAAUAAGGAUCGGCUAACUCCGUGCCCGCAGCCGCGGUAAUACGGAGGAUCCAAGCGUUAUCCGGAUUUAUUGGGGUUUAAGGGUGCGUAGGCGGGUUGAUAAGGUGGAGGUGAAAUGUCCGGGCUUAACCCGGGAACUGCCUCUAAUACUGUUGAUCUAGAGAGUAGAAGAGGUAGGCGGAAUGCAUGGUGUAGCGGUGAAAUGCUUAGAGAUCAUACAGAACACCGAUUGCGAAGGCAGCUUACCAGUCUAUAUCUGACGUUGAGGCACGAAAGCGUGGGGAUCAAACAGGAUUAGAUACCCUUGUAGUC